GACGAACGCUGGCGGCGUGCUUAACGCAUGCAAGUCGAACGAUGAACCCGGAGCUUGCUCCGGCGGAUUAGUGGCGAACGGGUGAGUAACACGUGAGUAACCUGCCCUUGACUCUGGGAUAACUGCUAGAAAUGGUAGCUAAUACCGGAUACGACCCUCGGUGGCAUCACCAGGGGGUGGAAAGAAUUUCGGUCAAGGAUGGACUCGCGGCCUAUCAGCUAGUUGGUGAGGUAACGGCUCACCAAGGCGACGACGGGUAGCCGGCCUGAGAGGGUGACCGGCCACACUGGGACUGAGACACGGCCCAGACUCCUACGGGAGGCAGCAGUGGGGAAUAUUGCACAAUGGGCGCAAGCCUGAUGCAGCAACGCCGCGUGAGGGAUGACGGCCUUCGGGUUGUAAACCUCUUUCAGCAGGGACGAAAACAGACGGUACCUGCAGAAGAAGCACCGGCCAACUACGUGCCAGCCGCCGCCGUAA
Molecule: ribosomal RNA, 480 nt
Filed under: uncultured bacterium
Lineage: Bacteria
Description: partial 16S ribosomal RNA
Rfam family: Bacterial small subunit ribosomal RNA
Source: RNAcentral